AGUGAACGCUGGCGGUAGGCCUAACACAUGCAAGUCGAACGGCAGCACAGUAAGAGCUUGCUCUUACGGGUGGCGAGUGGCGGACGGGUGAGGAAUACAUCGGAAUCUACUUUUUCGCGGGGGAUAACGUAGGGAAACUUACGCUAAUACCGCAUACGACCUACGGGUGAAAGCAGGGGAUCUUCGGACCUUGCGCGAUUGAAUGAGCCGAUGUCGGAUUAGCUAGUUGGCGGGGUAAAGGCCCACCAAGGCGACGAUCCGUAGCUGGUCUGAGAGGAUGAUCAGCCACACUGGAACUGAGACACGGUCCAGACUCCUACGGGAGGCAGCAGUGGGGAAUAUUGGACAAUGGGCGCAAGCCUGAUCCAGCCAUACCGCGUGGGUGAAGAAGGCCUUCGGGUUGUAAAGCCCUUUUGUUGGGAAAGAAAAGCAGCAGGUUAAUACCCCGCUGUUCUGACGGUACCCAAAGAAUAAGCGCCGGCUAACUUCGUG
This 492-nucleotide ribosomal RNA is filed under the name uncultured bacterium. RNAcentral's name for it is "partial 16S ribosomal RNA". It matches the Rfam family "Bacterial small subunit ribosomal RNA", at positions 29 to 507 of the family's 1533-position model. The record is from RNAcentral.